GGGUUGUGAGGUUAAGCGACUAAGCGUACACGGUGGAUGCCUUGGCAGUCAGAGGCGAUGAAGGACGUGCUAAUCUGCGAUAAGCGUCGGUAAGGUGAUAUGAACCGUUAUAACCGGCGAUUUCCGAAUGGGGAAACCCAGUGUGUUUCGACACACUAUCAUUAACUGAAUCCAUAGGUUAAUGAGGCGAACCGGGGGAACUGAAACAUCUAAGUACCCCGAGGAAAAGAAAUCAACCGAGAUUCCCCCAGUAGCGGCGAGCGAACGGGGAGGAGCCCAGAGCCUGAAUCAGUGUGUGUGUUAGUGGAAGCGUCUGGAAAGGCGCGCGAUGCAGGGUGACAGCCC
This 345-nucleotide ribosomal RNA is filed under the name Acinetobacter baumannii. RNAcentral describes it as "bacterial LSU rRNA". It matches the Rfam family "Bacterial large subunit ribosomal RNA", at positions 1 to 373 of the family's 2925-position model. The record is from RNAcentral. Lineage: Bacteria; Pseudomonadati; Pseudomonadota; Gammaproteobacteria; Moraxellales; Moraxellaceae.